RNAcentral lists this ribosomal RNA (1322 nucleotides) under Sinopanorpa tincta. Its description in RNAcentral is "16S ribosomal RNA". The stretch from base 625 to 1322 matches the Rfam family "Archaeal large subunit ribosomal RNA", at positions 1423 to 2806 of the family's 2987-position model. The record is from RNAcentral. Lineage: Eukaryota; Metazoa; Arthropoda; Insecta; Mecoptera; Panorpidae.
UAAUAAAAAAUUAUUAAAGUUAUUUGAUUUAAUAAAAUUAUUUAAUAAAAUCAAUUUUAUUAAUAAAAAUUUUAGUAUUGGAUAUAAAAAAAAUAAUUUAAAUGAUAGUUAAUUAGUAUUGUAAAAGAAAAUUGAAAUAUUUGAAAAUAAAUUAAUUUAAAAGUAAAUUUAAAAUAUUGUACCUUGUGUAUCAGGGUUUAUUAAUUAAAAUAUAAAAAUUUUAUAUGUCCCGAUUUUAAGAGAUCUAAUAAUGUAUUUUAGUUUACGUUUUAAAGUAAUUAAAAAUAUAUUAUUAGUAAUGAAACGUUAUUCGUUCUUAAUUAUAUCUGGUUUUUUAAGAAAUAAAUUUAAUUUAGAUAAUAAAAAGUAUUUAUUAAUUUAUUAUUAAUAAAUAAUUUUUAUUAUUAAUAUUUUAAGGGAUAAGCUUUGAAAUAUUUCCUAUAAUUAUUAUUAUAAUUUAAAAUUUAUAAGCUUAGAAAUAGCUAUUAAUUUAAAAAAUGUUAUAAUUUAUUUUAAAUUAAAAAUAAUUUUUAUAAAUUUAGGGAUUUUAUUAAAAUAUAUUUUAAAAUUAAAGUAAAAUAAAAAUAAUGAUAAAAUUAGUAUAAAUAAAUUGUAAUAUUUUAAUUAAUUUAUUAGGUUAAAUUAAGGAACUCGGCAAAUAAACACUCGCCUGUUUAACAAAAACAUGUCUUUUAGAAUAUAAUUUAAAGUCUAAUCUGCCCACUGAUAUUUUAAAGGGCCGCGGUAUCUUGACCGUGCAAAGGUAGCAUAAUAAUUAGUUUUUUAAUUGAGGACUAGAAUGAAUGAUUGAACGAGGUGUUAACUGUCUCAAUUUAAAUGAAAUUAUAAUUUAACUUUUAAGUUAAAAGGCUUAAAUAUAAUUAAAGGACGAGAAGACCCUAUAGAGCUUUAUAUUUAUAUAAUAGUUUUUUUAUAGUUUAUUUUAAAUUUUAUUAAAAUAAAUAUUUUGUUGGGGUGACAAGAAGAUUUAUUAAACUCUUUUUAUUUUUUUAACAAAAAUUAUUGAACGUUUGAUCCAGUUUUACUGAUUAUAAGACUAAGUUACCUUAGGGAUAACAGCGUAAUUUUUUUUAAGAGUUCAUAUCGACAAAAAAGAUUGCGACCUCGAUGUUGGAUUAAGAGUUAUUUUUGGGUGUAGAAGUUCAAAGUUUAGGUCUGUUCGACCUUUAAAUUCUUACAUGAUCUGAGUUCAGACCGGCGUAAGCCAGGUCGGUUUCUAUCCUUAACAUUAAUAAUUAAUAUUUUAGUACGAAAGGACCAAAUAUUGAAAAUAAUUUUUUUAUAGUGAUUAUCAUUAAUUU